RNAcentral lists this ribosomal RNA (497 nucleotides) under uncultured bacterium. RNAcentral describes it as "partial 16S ribosomal RNA". It matches the Rfam family "Bacterial small subunit ribosomal RNA", at positions 28 to 507 of the family's 1533-position model. The record is from RNAcentral.
GACGAACGCUGGCGGCGUGCCUAAUACAUGCAAGUUGAGCGCUGAAGGUUGGUACUUGUACCAACUGGAUGAGCAGCGAACGGGUGAGUAACGCGUGGGGAAUCUGCCUUUGAGCGGGGGACAACAUUUGGAAACGAAUGCUAAUACCGCAUAAAAACUUUAAACACAAGUUUUAAGUUUGAAAGAUGCAAUUGCAUCACUCAAAGAUGAUCCCGCGUUGUAUUAGCUAGUUGGUGAGGUAAAGGCUCACCAAGGCGAUGAUACAUAGCCGACCUGAGAGGGUGAUCGGCCACAUUGGGACUGAGACACGGCCCAAACGCCUACGGGAGGCAGCAGUAGGGAAUCUUCGGCAAUGGACGAAAGUCUGACCGAGCAACGCCGCGGGAGUGAAGAAGGUUUUCGGAUCGUAAAACUCUGUUGGUAGAGAAGAACGAUGGUGAGAGUGGAAAGCUCAUCAAGUGACGGUAACUACACAGAAAGGGACGGCUAACUACGUG